AGUGAACGCUGGCGGUAGGCCUAACACAUGCAAGUCGAACGGCAGCACAGUAAGAGCUUGCUCUUACGGGUGGCGAGUGGCGGACGGGUGAGGAAUACAUCGGAAUCUACUUUUUCGUGGGGGAUAACGUAGGGAAACUUACGCUAAUACCGCAUACGACCUACGGGUGAAAGCAGGGGAUCUUCGGACCUUGCGCGAUUGAAUGAGCCGAUGUCGGAUUAGCUAGUUGGCGGGGUAAAGGCCCAGCAAGGCGACGAUCCGUAGCUGGUCUGAGAGGAUGAUCGGCCACACUGGAACGGGGACACGGUCCAGACUCCUACGGGAGGCAGCAGUGGGGAAUAUUGGACAAUGGGCGCAAGCCUGAUCCAGCCAUACCGCGUGGGUGAAGAAGGCCUUCGGGUUGUAAAGCCCUUUUGUUGGGAAAGAAAAGCAGCAGGUUAAUACCCCGCUGUUCUGACGGUACCCAAAGAAUAAGCACCGGCUAACUUCGUG
RNAcentral lists this ribosomal RNA (492 nucleotides) under uncultured bacterium. RNAcentral's name for it is "partial 16S ribosomal RNA". It matches the Rfam family "Bacterial small subunit ribosomal RNA", at positions 29 to 507 of the family's 1533-position model. The record is from RNAcentral.